ACGCCGUAGCGCCGAUGGU
RNAcentral lists this ribosomal RNA (19 nucleotides) under Escherichia coli 2-156-04_S4_C1. RNAcentral describes it as "partial 23S ribosomal RNA". The record is from RNAcentral. Lineage: Bacteria; Pseudomonadati; Pseudomonadota; Gammaproteobacteria; Enterobacterales; Enterobacteriaceae.